UGGCUCAGGAUGAACGCUGGCGGCGUGCCUAACACAUGCAAGUCGAACGAAGCACUUCUGAUCGGAGAUUCGUCGAAGAGAAGAUUUGACUUAGUGGCGGACGGGUGAGUAAUGCGUGAGCAACCUGCCUUUCAGAGGGGGACAACAGUUGGAAACGACUGCUAAUACCGCAUAAUGUAUUCGGGGGGCAUCCUCUGGAUACCAAAGGAGCAAUCCGCUGAAAGAUGGGCUCACGUCUGAUUAGCUAGUUGGUGAGGUAACGGCUCACCAAGGCUGCGAUCAGUAGCCGGACUGAGAGGUUGAACGGCCACAUUGGGACUGAGAUACGGCCCAGACUCCUACGGGAGGCAGCAGUGGGGAAUAUUGGGCAAUGGGCGAAAGCCUGACCCAGCAACGCCGCGUGAAGGAAGAAGGUCUUCGGAUUGUAAACUUCUUUUAUGAGGGACGAAGGACGUGACGGUACCUCAUGAAUAAGCCACGGCUAACUACGUGCC
Molecule: ribosomal RNA, 494 nt
Filed under: uncultured organism
Description: SSU rRNA
Rfam family: Bacterial small subunit ribosomal RNA
Source: RNAcentral